AUACAGAGGGUGCAAGCGUUAUUCGGAAUUACUGGGCGUAAAGCGCGCGUAGGCGGAUGAUUAAGUCAGUUGUGAAAGCCCUGGGCUCAACCUAGGAACUGCAUCUGAUACUGGUCGUCUAGAGUUUAGGAGAGGGAAGUGGAAUUCCAGGUGUAGCAGUGAAAUGCGUAGAUAUCUGGAGGAACAUCAGUGGCGAAGGCGACUUCCUGGCUUAAAACUGACGCUGAGGUGCGAAAGCGUGGGUAGCGAACGGGAUUAGAAACCCUAGUAGUCC
Molecule: ribosomal RNA, 274 nt
Filed under: uncultured bacterium
Lineage: Bacteria
Description: partial 16S ribosomal RNA
Rfam family: Bacterial small subunit ribosomal RNA
Source: RNAcentral